GACAGAGGGUGCAAACGUUGCUCGGAAUCACUGGGCGUAAAGGGCGCGUAGGCGGGAAGGAAAGUCAGUUGUGAAAUCCCCAGGCUCAACCUGGGAACUGCAUUUGAAACUCCCUUUCUUGAGUACCGGAGAGGAAAGUGGAAUUCCUGGUGUAGAGGUGAAAUUCGUAGAUAUCAGGAGGAACACCAGUGGCGAAGGCGGCUUUCUGGACGGUAACUGACGCUGAGACGCGAAAGCGUGGGGAGCAAACAGG
RNAcentral lists this ribosomal RNA (253 nucleotides) under uncultured bacterium. RNAcentral describes it as "partial 16S ribosomal RNA". It matches the Rfam family "Bacterial small subunit ribosomal RNA", at positions 524 to 776 of the family's 1533-position model. The record is from RNAcentral.